CGGGCCCCGCACAAGCAGCGGAGCGUGUGGUUUAAUUCGAUGUUACACGAAGAACCUUACCAGGGUUUGACAUGCAAGUGGUAGGAAGCCGAAAGGUGACCGACCCUUCGGGAGCUUGCACAGGUGCUGCAUGGCUGUCGUCAGCUCGUGUCGUGAGAUGUUGGGUUAAGUCCCGCAACGAGCGCAACCCUUAUCCCUAGUUGCCAUCAGGUAAAGCUGGGAACUCUGGGGAGACUGCCGGUGAUAAACCGGAGGAAGGCGGGGAUGACGUCAAGUCCUCAUGGCCCUUACAUCCCGGGCUACACACGUGCUACAAUGGCAGGUACAGAGGGCUGCGAAGCCGCGAGGUGGAGCGAAUCCCAGAAAACCUGUCUCAGUCCGGAUUGAAGUCCGCAACUCGACUUCAUGAAGGCGGAAUCGCUAGUAACCGCGAAUCAGCAGGUCGCGGUGAAUACGUUCCCGGGUCUU
This 468-nucleotide ribosomal RNA is filed under the name uncultured Latescibacterota bacterium. RNAcentral's name for it is "bacterial SSU rRNA". It matches the Rfam family "Bacterial small subunit ribosomal RNA", at positions 916 to 1381 of the family's 1533-position model. The record is from RNAcentral. Lineage: Bacteria; Pseudomonadati; Candidatus Latescibacterota.